AUGGGGUGGCACAACAGAGCCUCCACGUCAGGUGAAGACCUUCGUUCAACAGGGGAAGUUUGCAUUUUCCUGAAUCGCCACGAUGCAGCUCCUCGCUUAAUCAUCUCUACUUACCGUGAUACAGUCAAAAAGGGCCGAUGGACUAUGGAGGUGAACAAAGCCACCCUGUCUACAAACCUCUCCAUCAGCGAGGCGAAGACGAAUGAUGCUGCCACCUACUACUGUGCUGUGAAAGCCACAGUGCCCGGUUCCUCCAGAUUAGUCCCAGGUAAAGGAUCGCGC
This is a non-coding RNA of Sphaerodactylus townsendi, 282 nucleotides long. Lineage: Eukaryota; Metazoa; Chordata; Lepidosauria; Squamata; Sphaerodactylidae. The record is from the annotation of a RefSeq genome assembly.